This 253-nucleotide ribosomal RNA is filed under the name uncultured microorganism. RNAcentral describes it as "partial 16S ribosomal RNA". It matches the Rfam family "Bacterial small subunit ribosomal RNA", at positions 524 to 776 of the family's 1533-position model. The record is from RNAcentral.
AACGUAGGGGGCGAGCGUUGUCCGGAAUUACUGGGCGUAAAGAGCUCGUAGGCGGUAGUUCAAGUCAGGUGUGAAAUCCGACGGCUUAACCGGAGGACUGCACCUGAUACUGGGCUGCUAGAGGUAAGGAGAGGAAGGUGGAAUUCCCGGUGUAGCGGUGAAAUGCGUAGAGAUCAGGAGGAACACCGAUGGCGAAGGCAGCCCCCUGGGCCUGUACUGACGCUCAUGCACGAAAGCGUGGGGAGCAAACGGG